CAUUGCGAAGCUUAAAGCGUUAACCUUUUAAGUUAAAGUCAGAGACAAGUAGUCUCCGCAAUGA
RNAcentral lists this transfer RNA (64 nucleotides) under Hyperacrius fertilis (subalpine Kashmir vole). RNAcentral's name for it is "tRNA-Lys". The record is from RNAcentral. Lineage: Eukaryota; Metazoa; Chordata; Mammalia; Rodentia; Cricetidae.